GACAAGACUUUCUUGAGCACAAGGUCACCUUCUCGGAACACACGAGGCUUGACCUUCUUAUCAAAUGCUUUCUUCACUCUCUGCUGAUAUAACUGACCAUGCCACAUGGCAGUUAAUCUCUUCUUUUCGAUCAGAUUCACUUAGUCGUAAUGACUCUGAAUCCAUUCAGCAUCAGUCAACUUGGGACUUUGAGGGUGCUAUAUUCCUUUUGUUUCUUUCUUUCUUUUUUCUUUCUUUUGAUUUGGAUUUCUUUUGAUUUCUUUUGACUUUUUUUUUUUGGUUUUGCACCCUCCUCUUCUUUUUUCUUCUUUUUUUUUUUUAAUGCCCUAGUUGGUUGUUCUGCUGAUUCUCGAGAUGCAGCUGAGUGAUCUUCUUUUCUUGCUCAAGCAGUUGGG
Molecule: long non-coding RNA, 395 nt
Filed under: Lathyrus oleraceus (garden pea)
Lineage: Eukaryota; Viridiplantae; Streptophyta; Magnoliopsida; Fabales; Fabaceae
Description: Pisum sativum (pea) long non-coding RNA (PSAT_LNC005757)
Source: RNAcentral